This 396-nucleotide ribosomal RNA is filed under the name Triticum aestivum (bread wheat). RNAcentral's name for it is "partial small subunit ribosomal RNA". The record is from RNAcentral. Lineage: Eukaryota; Viridiplantae; Streptophyta; Magnoliopsida; Poales; Poaceae.
AUGCUCCUCUCCUCCAUGACGGAGGACAUCGCGUCUGAGCUGAUCAACUGCAAGUCCGCUGCUGCCGCGUGGACCUCCAUCCACGCCAUGUUCAGCAUGCAGAACCGUGUCGGGGUUCGGCACAUCCGGCGACAGAUUCAGUCGCUGAAGAAGAACGACAUGACUGCCAGCGAGUACAUGCACAAGGUGAAGGCUCUUGUCGACGCCAUGGCCUCCGCUGGAUCUCCCCUCGCUGAUGACGAGAUCAUCGACUACAUGCUCACCGGAUUGGGCAAGGCCUUCAACCCGAUCGCGGCUUCGCUCAGCGUCGUGGUCACCCCGGUCGCGCUGGCUGAGUUAGACUCCAUGGUUCUCAACUAUGAAGCGAUGGCAGCUGUCGCGGCAGGCCGACGAUGA